This 394-nucleotide ribosomal RNA is filed under the name uncultured bacterium. RNAcentral's name for it is "bacterial SSU rRNA". It matches the Rfam family "Bacterial small subunit ribosomal RNA", at positions 971 to 1425 of the family's 1533-position model. The record is from RNAcentral.
UUACCGGCUGACAUAUUUGAAAGGGAUCUUGGAGCAGGUGUUGCAUGGCUGUCGUCAGCUCGUGUCGUGAGAUGUUGGGUUAAGUCCCGUAACGAGCGAAACCCUGUCUUAGUUGCCAGCGUACGGGACUCUAGGAGACUGCCGUUGUCAAACGGAGGAAGGUGGGGACGACGUCAAGUCAUCAUGGCCCUUAUGCCGGGCGACACACGUGCUACAAUGGGGUACAAGGGCCACCGCGAGGCAAGGAAUCCCAAAACCACCCCAGUUCGGAUUGCAGGCUGCAAUUCGCCUGCAUGAAGCCGGAAUCGCUAGUAAUCGCGAUCAGCAUGCGCGGUGAAUAUGUUCCUGAUCCUUGUACACACCGCCCGUCAAGCCACGGAAGCGGGAGGCUGAA